AUACGAAGGGGGCUAGCGUUGUUCGGAAUUACGGGGCGUAAAGCGCGCGUAGGCGGAUUGGUCAGUUAGGGGUGAAAUCCCAGGGCUUAACCCUGGAACUGCCUCUAAUACUGCCAGUCUUGAGUUCGGGAGAGGUGAGUGGAAUUCCUAGUGUAGAGGUGAAAUUCGUAGAUAUUAGGAAGAACACCAGUGGCGAAGGCGGCUCACUGGCCCGAUACUGACGCUGAGGCGCGAAAGCGUGGGGAGCAAACAGGAUUAGAAACCCCAGUAGUCC
This 274-nucleotide ribosomal RNA is filed under the name uncultured bacterium. Its description in RNAcentral is "partial 16S ribosomal RNA". It matches the Rfam family "Bacterial small subunit ribosomal RNA", at positions 523 to 796 of the family's 1533-position model. The record is from RNAcentral.